Molecule: ribosomal RNA, 500 nt
Filed under: uncultured bacterium
Lineage: Bacteria
Description: partial 16S ribosomal RNA
Rfam family: Bacterial small subunit ribosomal RNA
Source: RNAcentral
AUUGAACGCUGGCGGCAUGCCUUACACAUGCAAGUCGAACGGCAGCACGGGAGCAAUCCUGGUGGCGAGUGGCGAACGGGUGAGUAAAGUAUCGGAACGUGCCCAGUCGUGGGGGAUAACGUAGCGAAAGUUACGCUAAUACCGCAUACGAUCUAUGGAUGAAAGCGGGGGAUCGCAAGACCUCGCGCGAUUGGAGCGGCCGAUAUCAGAUUAGGUAGUUGGUGGGGUAAAGGCUCACCAAGCGGACGAUCUGUAGCUGGUCUGAGAGGACGACCAGCCACAAUGGGACUGAGGCACGGCCCAGACUCCUACGGGAGGCAGCAGUGGGGAAUUUUGGACAAUGGGCGAAAGCCUGAUCCAGCCAUGCCGCGUGCAGGAUGAAGGCCUUCGGGUUGUAAACUGCUUUUGUACGGAACGAAAAGGUUUGGGCUAAUAAGCUGAGCUCAUGACGGUACCGUAAGAAUAAGCACCGGCUAACUACGUGCCAGCAGCCGCCGUAA